UACGGAAGGCAGCAGUGGGGAAUAUUGCACAAUGGGCGCAAGCCUGAUGCAGCCAUGCCGCGUGUAUGAAGAAGGCCUUCGGGUUGUAAAGUACUUUCAGUCGUGAGGAAGGUGUUAAGGUUAAUAACCUUAGCAAUUGACGUUAGCGACAGAAGAAGCACCGGCUAACUCCGUGCCAGCAGCCGCGGUAAUACGGAGGGUGCGAGCGUUAAUCGGAAUUACUGGGCGUAAAGGGCACGCAGGCGGUUAAUUAAGUUGGAUGUGAAAUCCCCGGGCUUAACCUGGGAAUGGCAUUCAAGACUGGUUAGCUAGAGUCUUGUAGAGGGGGUAGAAUUCCAUGUGUAGCGGUGAAAUGCGUAGAGAUGUGGAGGAAUACCGGUGGCGAAGGCGGCCCCUGGGACAAGACUGACGCUCAUGUGCGAAAGCGUGGGGAGCGAAACAGGGAUUAGAU
This 451-nucleotide ribosomal RNA is filed under the name uncultured bacterium. RNAcentral describes it as "bacterial SSU rRNA". It matches the Rfam family "Bacterial small subunit ribosomal RNA", at positions 340 to 783 of the family's 1533-position model. The record is from RNAcentral.